GACGAACGCUGGCGGCGUGCUUAACACAUGCAAGUCGAACGUUUUUUGUGGAAAUUCUUUCAGGAAUGGAAAUGAAAUGAAAGUGGCGAACGGGUGAGUAACACGUGAGCAACCUACCUUACACAGGGGGAUAGCCGUUGGAAACGACGAUUAAUACCGCAUGAGACCACAGAAUCGCAUGAUAUAGGGGUCAAAGAUUUAUCGGUGUAAGAAGGGCUCGCGUCUGAUUAGCUAGUUGGAAGGGUAAAGGCCUACCAAGGCGACGAUCAGUAGCCGGUCUGAGAGGAUGAACGGCCACAUUGGAACUGAGACACGGUCCAAACUCCUACGGGAGGCAGCAGUGGGGAAUAUUGCACAAUGGGGGGAACCCUGAUGCAGCGACGCCGCGUGAGCGAAGAAGGUUUUCGAAUCGUAAAGCUCUGUCCUAUGAGAAGAUAAUGACGUAUCAUA
RNAcentral lists this ribosomal RNA (450 nucleotides) under Parvimonas micra. Its description in RNAcentral is "bacterial SSU rRNA". It matches the Rfam family "Bacterial small subunit ribosomal RNA", at positions 28 to 463 of the family's 1533-position model. The record is from RNAcentral. Lineage: Bacteria; Bacillati; Bacillota; Tissierellia; Tissierellales; Peptoniphilaceae.